Molecule: ribosomal RNA, 471 nt
Filed under: uncultured bacterium
Lineage: Bacteria
Description: bacterial SSU rRNA
Rfam family: Bacterial small subunit ribosomal RNA
Source: RNAcentral
AGGGUUCGAUCAUGGCUCAGGAUGAACGCUGGCGGCGUGCUUAACACAUGCAAGUCGAACGAACCUUCGGGUUAGUGGCGGACGGGUGAGUAACGCGUGAGAAUCUGCCCUCAGGAGGGGGAUAACGGUUGGAAACGACCGCUAAUACCCCAUAUGCCUAUUGGUGAAAUGAAUUUCGCCUGAGGAUGAGCUCGCGUCUGAUUAGCUAGUUGGUGAGGUAAUGGCUUACCAAGGCUUCGAUCAGUAGCUGGUCUGAGAGGAUGAUCAGCCACACUGGGACUGAGACACGGCCCAGACUCCUACGGGAGGCAGCAGUGGGGAAUUUUCCGCAAUGGGCGAAAGCCUGACGGAGCAACGCCGCGUGAGGGACGAAGGCCUCUGGGCUGUAAACCUCUUUUCUCAAGGAAGAAGAUAUGACGGUACUUGAGGAAUAAGCCACGGCUAAUUCCGUGCCAGCAGCCGCGGUAAUAC